This 249-nucleotide ribosomal RNA is filed under the name uncultured bacterium. Its description in RNAcentral is "partial 16S ribosomal RNA". It matches the Rfam family "Bacterial small subunit ribosomal RNA", at positions 85 to 334 of the family's 1533-position model. The record is from RNAcentral.
AGAGUGGCGACCGGCGCACGGGUGAGUAACACGUGUGCAACCAACCCCGUACCGGGAGAUAACCCGCGGAAACGUGGACUAACAUCCCAUGAGACUCUAGAUCCGCAUGGCUCUAGAUUUAAAAUUCCGGUGGUACGGGACGGGCACGCGCGACAUUAGGUAGUUGGCGGGGUAAGGGCCCACCAAGCCGACGAUGUCUAGGGGUUCUGAGAGGAAGGUCCCCCACACUGGAACUGAGACACGGUCCAG